ACAGGAGUACUGAAAAAACGGCAGUCAUCCUCCUCACAUCUCCCCCGUUCCCCAUUUCUCCCAUCGCCAGCUCCCUCCCUCCACAGCCGGCGGUCCCAGGUUAGGCCACCCCUUCCCUUUGUUACCAUAGCCAGCGCGAGCUUUGCAGCCACUAAUCUUCCUCCCCUUCAUGUCGAAUCUGGCUGCGGAAGUGGCCGAGGAGGCCCUCGAGCUCGGCAUGCUUGCGCCAGCUCUAGGCUCCGUCGGAGGCGUACGCGAAGGCGCGGGACUUGCACGCCUCUCCUCUGCCCUACUCCUUCGAAUCCAGUCGCAGAACUGCUCGAGGAGGCGCUCGAGCUUGGCGUGCUCACCAGCGACGUCGGGCCCCUCCCUCCUCCUGAUGCCCUCACCGUCGCCGCCAUGAGCCUCUCCACCCUCUCCCGCGCGAUUGUCCGGGUCCAGUUGGCCGGAUUAUGUUCCGAUGAUAUGAUCGCAGUGAAUAAUAUGGGUUGCCUAUGUGCUCAUGAAACUAAAAAGUCUUCAAAAGGCAGUCUUCCAAUGAAAUUUGAAAUAUAAAAAACAUGGUAUCAGAAAAGAACGAAUAGGGGAAGAGUCAACAUGGAUGUUGUCCCGGUUUUAUCCCAUCCUGGAGGUAUAAUUUUUUUAUCCGAUUAAUGAUAGCAGCAAAUGUUUGACAUUAUUCAUACUGUUAUGAAAUAAUUUUUUUUGCAUACAACAAUUUUAAAUGUCUUACAGAUUCCAAGAUAAUUUAUCUCCACCAUUCUUUCAUUGUUCCCAAGUUACCUUUCUUAUGCAUUAUUCUCCAUUAGUUCUGAUUUACCUGUGAUCUCACCUCAUUUUGUCAACUACCCGUUUGCCGUAUGUGUGGAGCCCUCAUGGUUGGUCUGUUGGUUUGAGUUAUUUUGUCCCCAAUCUUCGGUCCCAUCAUCCAUUUGCUCGUCCUUCUAAUUUCUUGAUUCGAUUACUGUGUUUAUCUUGGCUACCAUUUCAGCACAAACAUUUACCUGGUGGUGGUCAAAUUGAACAAUGUUAGCAAUCACUCUCUAGCUGACUGAAACUUAACCUCCCUAAAGCAUGAACCAAACCUGCUCUUAGCUGCAAGCUUUGUUGGUCGAGCAAGUGCAAAAAAAACCAUCAACAAAUAAUCUCAUGCUUAAUCCAAUGUUACAUUAAUAAUCUAGCGAGAUCCAAGUAUGGAAGGAAGCAAUUCAAUAUUAUCACAUAUUUCCUUACACUGCACGCCACAGAAGCACAAUCCUAUUUCUUUAUAUUCAUCUUUCCUUUAAUACUUGAAACUGAAACUGAAAUUCCAUGAAUGCUUUGUUCAAGAACAACUAUGAUUGAUCCUUGAGAAAUGUGCAGGUACAUAUGCCAGAACUACACUUACUAUUUCCUAUUACCAUAUCCUUCAUUAAGGAAAAAUUCCCUAAAUAAGCUUGACCUAGCCAAAUGACUAACAAACAUGUAGCCAUGGCCAAUACUGCAUGAAUUAGUCAGGAACUUCAGCACAAACUCAUCUAUUUCAGACUUCUCCUCUGUUCUUCUCUGGACUCUAUAAAUUAAAAUAUCACACAUGCAUAUGCAAAGGCAGUGGAAGCAAAGAGAACUUACAUUGGAAGGAGGCACAACGAAUCCGCAGAACGCUCCAGAAGCAACUGGAAGGCGACGGAGCGGACAACAGCAGCUUGGACCAAUAGAUGACAACGAAAAAAGCAGAGGCCUACAGGAGGCAAAAUGCGGCAAUCAGCGAGCGGGUAAAUCCAAAACAUAGCAAAUAAUGGUGAUGGAGACACCUCAGCCAAACGGUUCCAUGGCAGGUCAACCCGAAGUGCAGCAGCAACAAAGAACCAGCGGAGUUGCAGCAGAAAAGAGAGGCAAAAAUGAAAGCAAGAAGAAACCCAAAUCAGUGAAAAGGAAACGGGAUACUAAAAGCUUAGCCUGUUCAAAGCUUUCUGGGUGUGUACAACAUGCAUAUAUUUAGUAAAGUGUAUAUGCACAUAAGCAUGACUACCAACAACAUAUGGGGAUUUGACAAAUGGGGGAUACUACAGCCAUUUUUAAAAUUUGCAUAUCUUCAUGCAUAUACUUGAUAUCCCGACGACACUAUAUUCACACUACUUGAGAAAGUAAAUAGUCAAACGACAUUAAUAGAGAAGUUGUAGAGUUCUACCGUUUCCGCUUUGCAAUCCCAAUAAAACAAUAUAGUUCUUCUGCAAGUAAUUAUAUGACAUGAUGGUCUACAGCUACAAGAAGGUUGGGUGUGUUAGAGUUAUAAUAUAAGUCAUGUACCCCUUUGUAUUUAUCCCGUUGUAUAAGGGGUUUCCUGCAUAUGUUCCACACCUGUACAUGUAUAUAUAUCGGCCUAUGGCCUCAUGGGAAUACAAGUUGCAUAUUUUCCUAACAGGGUGAAGUCUACAGCCACAAGAACGCCAUCAGCAGGUUCGCGGCGAAGCUCACGCAGGUCGCCGUGUUGAGGAGUGAGUUCCCCUCUUGCUGCUCUGCUCUGCUCUCACAAUCAACUGAAUCCCUUUAGCUAGCAGUAAAACUACAGUUGCAAGAGCUUUUUUUAAUUGCAUGAUGCACAGUUGAUGGUCAACUAAGGCAAACCCAUAGUAUAAUCGUUAAGAUCAAGUUGGUAAUUUUAGUCGGACCUGUUGUCAAUACUGAGGUCAAUGCAAGGCCUACUCACAUGGUUAAUAUGCUAAUUCUUGUCACCAGAAAACCAAGAAAGGUGUACCAUGAGCAAGGAUCGAUAUUAUAAAUGUAUACAGUAUUAUGUAUAAAUGGCCAAUGGCUCCAGCAACUAUAGCAAUUAAACCGUGAGCACCAGGGAAAGAGGAUAAUGAUUUUAAUUCAGCCGUUAUGUAAAAAAGAAAUCAAAUAGUUAUUGAACCUAGCCUUGUUAUGGUAUCUAUUCAAACUAAACAAAGUAAAAAAUAUGGAUAGCAAAUUUACUGAAAGUUGAACGCACACAACUGCUUGAACAGCUCUAGCAGCCUCUGAUAUGCCAAUCAGGAUACCUUGCAAAAUAUUCUCAGAAUGCAUUGAUCAAUAUCUAUGCAAACCAAACAAAGGAGGCUGCUACACUAUGGAUCAAAAAAUAUUCACCGUCUAAAUCGUUCAGGCCAAAGCCAUUGCCAAGACUCCUCAGAUUUAUUCCUUAAAUGUUCCAUGUGUUCAGAAAAUAAAAUAUAAUACGAUGAACUCUAGUUUCAUAAACUGUUAUUGGAACAUAUGUACCAUUUUGUAACUGAGUAUACACACCAGUGCUAACCACAUAUAGUUGUUCUUAGUCCAAGCAAAAAUGUACCCAUGUUAACAAUUUUGUACAUGGGUAGUGUGGAUAUUUAACCUCAAUAGGAUAACAUCACAUUUUAUCUGCUAACCAAAGUACAACGGGGCAGAGCUUGAAUCUAACUAUUAUAAAAAAAACACAAAC
RNAcentral lists this ribosomal RNA (3439 nucleotides) under Triticum aestivum (bread wheat). RNAcentral's name for it is "partial small subunit ribosomal RNA". The record is from RNAcentral. Lineage: Eukaryota; Viridiplantae; Streptophyta; Magnoliopsida; Poales; Poaceae.